RNAcentral lists this ribosomal RNA (2773 nucleotides) under human gut metagenome. RNAcentral's name for it is "bacterial LSU rRNA". It matches the Rfam family "Bacterial large subunit ribosomal RNA". The record is from RNAcentral.
AGCGUACACGGUGGAUGCCCUGGCAGUCAGAGGCGAUGAAGGACGUGCUAAUCUGCGAUAAGCGUCGGUGAGGUGAUAUGAACCGUUAUAACCGGCGAUUUCCGAAUGGGGAAACCCAGUGUGUUUCGACACACUAUCAUUAACUGAAUCCAUAGGUUAAUGAGGCGAACCGGGGGAACUGAAACAUCUAAGUACCCCGAGGAAAAGAAAUCAACCGAGAUUCCCCCAGUAGCGGCGAGCGAACGGGGAGGAGCCCAGAGCCUGAAUCAGUGUGUGUGUUAGUGGAAGCGUCUGGAAAGGCGCGCGAUACAGGGUGACAGCCCCGUACACAAAAAUGCACAUGCUGUGAGCUCGAUGAGUAGGGCGGGACACGUGGUAUCCUGUCUGAAUAUGGGGGGACCAUCCUCCAAGGCUAAAUACUCCUGACUGACCGAUAGUGAACCAGUACCGUGAGGGAAAGGCGAAAAGAACCCCGGCGAGGGGAGUGAAAAAGAACCUGAAACCGUGUACGUACAAGCAGUGGGAGCCUCUUAAUGGGGUGACUGCGUACCUUUUGUAUAAUGGGUCAGCGACUUAUAUUCUGUAGCAAGGUUAACCGAAUAGGGGAGCCGAAGGGAAACCGAGUCUUAACUGGGCGUUAAGUUGCAGGGUAUAGACCCGAAACCCGGUGAUCUAGCCAUGGGCAGGUUGAAGGUUGGGUAACACUAACUGGAGGACCGAACCGACUAAUGUUGAAAAAUUAGCGGAUGACUUGUGGCUGGGGGUGAAAGGCCAAUCAAACCGGGAGAUAGCUGGUUCUCCCCGAAAGCUAUUUAGGUAGCGCCUCGUGAAUUCAUCUCCGGGGGUAGAGCACUGUUUCGGCAAGGGGGUCAUCCCGACUUACCAACCCGAUGCAAACUGCGAAUACCGGAGAAUGUUAUCACGGGAGACACACGGCGGGUGCUAACGUCCGUCGUGAAGAGGGAAACAACCCAGACCGCCAGCUAAGGUCCCAAAGUCAUGGUUAAGUGGGAAACGAUGUGGGAAGGCCCAGACAGCCAGGAUGUUGGCUUAGAAGCAGCCAUCAUUUAAAGAAAGCGUAAUAGCUCACUGGUCGAGUCGGCCUGCGCGGAAGAUGUAACGGGGCUAAACCAUGCACCGAAGCUGCGGCAGCGACACUAUGUGUUGUUGGGUAGGGGAGCGUUCUGUAAGCCUGUGAAGGUGGCCUGUGAGGGUUGCUGGAGGUAUCAGAAGUGCGAAUGCUGACAUAAGUAACGAUAAAGCGGGUGAAAAGCCCGCUCGCCGGAAGACCAAGGGUUCCUGUCCAACGUUAAUCGGGGCAGGGUGAGUCGACCCCUAAGGCGAGGCCGAAAGGCGUAGUCGAUGGGAAACAGGUUAAUAUUCCUGUACUUGGUGUUACUGCGAAGGGGGGACGGAGAAGGCUAUGUUGGCCGGGCGACGGUUGUCCCGGUUUAAGCGUGUAGGCUGGUUUUCCAGGCAAAUCCGGAAAAUCAAGGCUGAGGCGUGAUGACGAGGCACUACGGUGCUGAAGCGACAAAUGCCCUGCUUCCAGGAAAAGCCUCUAAGCAUCAGGUAACAUCAAAUCGUACCCCAAACCGACACAGGUGGUCAGGUAGAGAAUACCAAGGCGCUUGAGAGAACUCGGGUGAAGGAACUAGGCAAAAUGGUGCCGUAACUUCGGGAGAAGGCACGCUGAUAUGUAGGUGAAGCGACUUGCUCGUGGAGCUGAAAUCAGUCGAAGAUACCAGCUGGCUGCAACUGUUUAUUAAAAACACAGCACUGUGCAAACACGAAAGUGGACGUAUACGGUGUGACGCCUGCCCGGUGCCGGAAGGUUAAUUGAUGGGGUUAGCGGUAACGCGAAGCUCUUGAUCGAAGCCCCGGUAAACGGCGGCCGUAACUAUAACGGUCCUAAGGUAGCGAAAUUCCUUGUCGGGUAAGUUCCGACCUGCACGAAUGGCGUAAUGAUGGCCAGGCUGUCUCCACCCGAGACUCAGUGAAAUUGAACUCGCUGUGAAGAUGCAGUGUACCCGCGGCAAGACGGAAAGACCCCGUGAACCUUUACUAUAGCUUGACACUGAACAUUGAGCCUUGAUGUGUAGGAUAGGUGGGAGGCUUUGAAGUGUGGACGCCAGUCUGCAUGGAGCCGACCUUGAAAUACCACCCUUUAAUGUUUGAUGUUCUAACGUGGGCCCGUAAUCCGGGUUGCGGACAGUGUCUGGUGGGUAGUUUGACUGGGGCGGUCUCCUCCUAAAGAGUAACGGAGGAGCACGAAGGUUGGCUAAUCCUGGUCGGACAUCAGGAGGUUAGUGCAAUGGCAUAAGCCAGCUUGACUGCGAGCGUGACGGCGCGAGCAGGUGCGAAAGCAGGUCAUAGUGAUCCGGUGGUUCUGAAUGGAAGGGCCAUCGCUCAACGGAUAAAAGGUACUCCGGGGAUAACAGGCUGAUACCGCCCAAGAGUUCAUAUCGACGGCGGUGUUUGGCACCUCGAUGUCGGCUCAUCACAUCCUGGGGCUGAAGUAGGUCCCAAGGGUAUGGCUGUUCGCCAUUUAAAGUGGUACGCGAGCUGGGUUUAGAACGUCGUGAGACAGUUCGGUCCCUAUCUGCCGUGGGCGCUGGAGAACUGAGGGGGGCUGCUCCUAGUACGAGAGGACCGGAGUGGACGCAUCACUGGUGUUCGGGUUGUCAUGCCAAUGGCACUGCCCGGUAGCUAAAUGCGGAAGAGAUAAGUGCUGAAAGCAUCUAAGCACGAAACUUGCCCCGAGAUGAGUUCU